CCUACGGGAGACAGCAGUGAGGAAUAUUGGUCAAUGGGCGAGAGCCUGAACCAGCCAAGUCGCGUGAGGGAAGACGGUCCUAUGGAUUGUAAACCUCUUUUGCCGGGGAGCAAAAAGCGGUACGUGUACCGCAUCGAGAGUACCCGGAGAAAAAGCAUCGGCUAACUCCGUGCCAGCAGCCGCGGUAAUACGGAGGAUGCGAGCGUUAUCCGGAUUUAUUGGGGUAAAAGGGUGCGCAGGCGGCGAGUUAAGUCAGCGGUAAAAUUUCGGGGCUCAACCCCGACAAGCCGUUGAAACUGGCGUGCUAGAGUGGGCGAGAAGUAUGCGGAAUGCGUGGUGUAGCGGUGAAAUGCAUAGAUAUCACGCAGAACUCCGAUUGCGAAGGCAGCAUACCGGCGCCCAACUGACGCUCAGGCACGAAAGCGUGGGUAUCGAACAGGAUUAGAUACCCUAGUAGUC
RNAcentral lists this ribosomal RNA (459 nucleotides) under uncultured bacterium. RNAcentral's name for it is "partial 16S ribosomal RNA". It matches the Rfam family "Bacterial small subunit ribosomal RNA", at positions 338 to 795 of the family's 1533-position model. The record is from RNAcentral.